Molecule: long non-coding RNA, 2945 nt
Organism: Chelonia mydas (Green sea turtle)
Lineage: Eukaryota; Metazoa; Chordata; Testudines; Cheloniidae
Exons: 3
Source: RefSeq, a predicted model, not a curated record
GCCCCUUCCCUGUUACUAUAUUUGGAGGUAGCUUCUAGGAAAAAAAUAAUUUUCAGACGGUCUUGGACUCACCACACCUACUAUACAAGGACUCACUUCACCUAAGAUUCUCUGACAAGGACCCUAAAGGAGUUUAGAAGCCAAAUGACUGGGAUCAUCAACUCCAGUGACAGAGCGGCAUGUCUUUGUAACAGUGUUGCAGAAAUGAGCAUGGAGAGGGAAUGGGAAAGGGGAGAGAGGUGUCUUUGUGGCAACAAUGAGUGAAUCUUCUCUAGUUAUCUCCUGGUUGCUGGGUUUUCCCCCCUGCACUUUCUUUUGCAGUUGAAAGGAAGAUGAUCGUUUUAAAAUUAUUAAUCCUCCUUUUUUUCUUCUUCUUUUCACCCUCCCUGCCACCCCCCUUGAUGUGGCCUCUUGUUUAGCUUGUGGCGUGACCAUGAUGAAGAAAUUUUUCUGGGAGCCUGGCAGUGUGAUCUUUUUAUGUAAUGAGUCAGGAUUUUGCCAAGGGAAGGAGCAGGGUUUGAGGAUUGAGUGUGUCUCCUUUCAAGAAGAAAACUGACAGGCGAGAUGCACCUUUUCCCCAGGAUCCUUUUUCCCCCUCCCCGCCUCACAGGAAUGACAAGUGCAGGAUUGUCUGGCUGUACCUUUCUCAGUGUUUCUGAAUGUGUGGCUUUCUACUUUAAUCUCUGCCGUAAUGCUGUGCCUCAAGAUAUCUUCCCUCCUUGGAAUAUUUGCCUCAUGGGCUUUAAGAAAUCUGCAUUUUACCCUAAAAUCAUCUAUCUAAUUGCUGACUCACAGAACUAUGUGAAAUGCUCAGAAGGAAAUCGGAUACUCUGAUACUACCAACAACAACAAAAAAACAGUCCUGCUUUCAAGAUUUUUUUUUUUUAAGUCAACUGGAAAUCCAGGCCAGAUUCACAGACAUUUCAGUGAACCUGGGCUUAUUUAUGGUUUCAUGUCAGUAGAAUGGUAAGUUAAAAUUGGUGACAGGAAUUGGGUGAAACUCAGAGCUUUUGGAGUUUGGGGUUUCACUGAACCUAAGGUAUGUGAAAUUAUGUGGUCGAAAAAUAAGAAAAUGUCUGCACUAACCCUUUUGAGGCAAAAUUACUAAGGUUCACACCAAGUCUUUGCACUGCCCAUAAAGCAAAAGUCCCAGAAGCUAGAAGUCAUUCUGCUGCAGGGAGCACAGGAGAUCCCCCUCUUAUUAAUGCCGAGUGAUUGAGCAUCAUAGACUAUGUAAAUGUUGUGUUUAUAAAAAGGGGUAGGUGCAUGUCCAGGAGGAGGAUCUGUACAAAACAGAGGUAGACUUUGAUAGCUGAACCACACAAUGAGUAAACAAGACUGAUGACCUUCCAGAAUAUUGCUACAGGCAAGCUCUUUGUGCUCAUGUUUACUGGAAGGCUUCACUUUUUUUUGUGGGGGAGGGUGGAACAAAUCUACAGCCAUGUAUUUAAUUCAUGUACUCUAACAAAUGCUUUGCUGCAUUAAAUGUUGCCUUGCUAAUGAGCAUGUGCCUUGCAUGAAUGCAAGGAGUAUCAGAGUAUUGUAAGAACAAUUGUAAAGGACCUUAUAUCCAUUUAUAUUGCAUGCUGGUUAGUAAGAAAACCUUGUGCAAGCAAGAAAAAGGUACUUGGUCCAUUAUGAAAUGCAUGCUUGGCUGUAUAAAGAGCAUUUCCUGAUCAUUACAGAGAUAUUUCUGUAUUAUUCCAGCCCUUGUAGGUGCACUGAAUCUAGAGAGCCUCUGAUAUACUGUCCUAGAAACACAUUUCAGGUACAGUAUGUAGUUUGAGUUCCAGCACAUUUUGAAAUGGCAAGAAUAGUCAACAAAAUAUCCAGUAGCAAAAUCCUGGACAAAACUGCACAAUGCAAAAAUUUGGGUUAGCCUAGUCUUCACACUGUGACUGCGGAGCAGCAAUGCAGAUGGUCAAACGUGGUGGAGGAGUCACAAUUAGAAGACUGGAGGGUGGACUGCAACACCUUGCCACCUCAAUGAUGCAGCAGUUCGAUGGCUGAACAAUCUAGCUACUGAAUUGGGGAGCACAUGAAAGAAGAAGAAUAAACCUCCAAACCGCAAACACGUUUGUAUAACAUCACAACUCUUAUACACUUAGGGAAUUUAUAAAGGAAGUUGACAAGGGGCCAAAUUUAUCCAUAGUGCCUCUCCACUGACUCAAAUGGGUGAAUUUAGUUUAAGAAGUCACCCCUUAACUUUUUUUUAUUUGUAUUACAAAUUUAACAUUAGUUAUAUACUGAAUAUAAUUUGUUUGUAUGUUGGGAAAACUAAUGAAAUACUCAUUGCAUCUGCUGGGCUGUGGUAUGCAGAUGUUCAUUAAUAUUAAAUUAUGUGUUAAAUUUACCUUGAUUUUCCAAAGUAAACCAAUCAUCCUUAAUGACACGGUUAAUACAUUUCACCCCAAACGUAGCCUCCCUUUAAAGUUAUAUGACAGUUGUAAACUUGCUUCUUAUUGCAGCUUUAUGGAAGUGAGUUCUCUCUUAUCAAUCCUUCCAGACCUGAUUUUUUUUUUUUAAAUGGCACUUAGUCCUAACAAAAUAUAUAGCUUCUUGCAUGCAGGGUAUCCAGAUCACAGCAAGAGUUAAAAUUAUAUUGGUUCUGAAGGAGAGCCAAGCAAAGAGUUUUCCAGCUACCUGUGUUUUUGUGGUAGAAUCCAAUGAAUUCUUUUAUCACUCUGUUCUUUAUAUCUGAUAUUUCAGACACUUUGGUCACAUCUUGCGCUUUUCGCUAUGUAUUUUAAAUUUGUGAACUUGUACUCAUAAUUGCCAUACCCACCGGGCACUUUGCCACAGAGUCAACUUUUUGUAUAAUUACAGAAAGAAAAGGAGUACUUGUGGCACCUUAGAGACUAACAAAUUUAUUUGAGCAUAAGCUUUUGUGAGCUACAGCUCACUUCAUCGGAUGCAUUCAUUGGCACCCUGACAGCAGGACUGUC